Molecule: unclassified non-coding RNA, 207 nt
Filed under: Hevea brasiliensis (rubber tree)
Lineage: Eukaryota; Viridiplantae; Streptophyta; Magnoliopsida; Malpighiales; Euphorbiaceae
Source: RNAcentral
UCUCUCUCUCUCUCUUUCUUUUUACUAAAAAGAUCAGAAACAAAGAAGAGGCAAUAGAUAAAUGUAAACUGGACCAAUUAAUUUCAGAUACACAUUUCAAAAUCCAUUAUUGGAAUUAGGAAGAAUAUUGCAAUUAAAGGUAUUGAUGUGUGGGAGAUUAAGGACAAUUGGGCAAAAAAGAGAUUAAAUAAAAGGAAAGAAAGAAAG